This 417-nucleotide ribosomal RNA is filed under the name uncultured bacterium. RNAcentral's name for it is "bacterial SSU rRNA". It matches the Rfam family "Bacterial small subunit ribosomal RNA", at positions 355 to 770 of the family's 1533-position model. The record is from RNAcentral.
UAAGGAAUAUUGGUCAAUGGACGCAAGUCUGAACCAGCCAUGCCGCGUGAAGGAUGAAGGUCCUCUGGAUUGUAAACUUCUUUUAUCUGGGACGAAAACGGGAUUUUUAUCUCAAUUGACGGUACCAGAGGAAUAAGCACCGGCUAACUCCGUGCCAGCAGCCGCGGUAAUACGGAGGGUGCGAGCGUUAUCCGGAUUUACUGGGUUUAAAGGGUGCGUAGGUGGGCUUAUAAGUCAGUGGUGAAAUCUCCGAGCGUAACUUGGAAACUGCCGUUGAUACUAUAGGUCUUGAUUUAUCUGGAGGUGAGCGGAAUAUGUCAGUGAGCGGUGAAAUGCUUAGAUAUGACAUAGAACACCAAUUGCGAAGGCAGCUUACUACAUAUAAAUUGACGCUGAGGCACGAAAGCGUGGGGAUCA